Molecule: ribosomal RNA, 406 nt
Filed under: uncultured bacterium
Lineage: Bacteria
Description: bacterial SSU rRNA
Rfam family: Bacterial small subunit ribosomal RNA
Source: RNAcentral
UUGGACAAUGGAGGCAACUCUGAUCCAGCCAUGCCGCGUGAAGGAAUAAGGCCCUAUGGGUUGUAAACUUCUUUUAGACGGGACAAAACCCCUUUACGUGUAAAGGGUUGAUAGUACUGUCAGAAUAAGCAUCGGCUAACUUCGUGCCAGCAGCCGCGGUAAUACGAAGGAUGCAAGCGUUAUCCGGAAUUAUUGGGUUUAAAGGGUGCGUAGGCGGACUAAUAAGUCAGUGGUGAAAGCCUGCAGCUUAACUGCAGAAUUGCCAUUGAUACUGUUAGUCUUGAGUACAGUUGAGGUAGGCGGAAUGUGUCAUGUAGCGGUGAAAUGCUUAGAUAUGACACAGAACACCGAUUUCGAAGGCAGCUUGCUAAGCUGUAACUGACGCUGAGGCACGAAAGCGUGGGGA